Molecule: ribosomal RNA, 511 nt
Filed under: Xylaria cubensis
Lineage: Eukaryota; Fungi; Ascomycota; Sordariomycetes; Xylariales; Xylariaceae
Description: eukaryotic LSU rRNA
Rfam family: 5.8S ribosomal RNA (bases 182-335)
Source: RNAcentral
UCUAACUCCCAAACCCAUGUGAACUUACCUACGUUGCCUCGGCGGGGAAGCCUACCCGGUACCUACCCUGUAGUUACCCGGGANCGAGCUACCCUGUAGCCCGCUGCAGGCCUACCCGCCGGUGGACAUCUAAACUCUUGUUUUUUAGUGAUUAUCUGAGUGUUUAUACUUAAUAAGUUAAAACUUUCAACAACGGAUCUCUUGGUUCUGGCAUCGAUGAAGAACGCAGCGAAAUGCGAUAAGUAAUGUGAAUUGCAGAAUUCAGUGAAUCAUCGAAUCUUUGAACGCACAUUGCGCCCAUUAGUAUUCUAGUGGGCAUGCCUGUUCGAGCGUCAUUUCAACCCUCAAGCCCUAGCUGCUUGGUAUUGGGAGCUUGUCUGCGGACAACUCCUCAAAAGCAUUGGCGGAGUCGCGGUGACCCCAAGCGUAGUAAUUCUUCUCGCUUAGGUGUGUUAACGCUGGCGUUCGGCCACUAAACCCCCUAUUUUCUAGUGGUUGACCUCGGAUCAGG